Molecule: ribosomal RNA, 1058 nt
Filed under: Paenarthrobacter nicotinovorans
Lineage: Bacteria; Bacillati; Actinomycetota; Actinomycetes; Micrococcales; Micrococcaceae
Description: bacterial SSU rRNA
Rfam family: Bacterial small subunit ribosomal RNA
Source: RNAcentral
UAAUGGCCUACCAAGGCGACGACGGGUAGCCGGCCUGAGAGGGUGACCGGCCACACUGGGACUGAGACACGGCCCAGACUCCUACGGGAGGCAGCAGUGGGGAAUAUUGCACAAUGGGCGCAAGCCUGAUGCAGCGACGCCGCGUGAGGGAUGACGGCCUUCGGGUUGUAAACCUCUUUCAGUAGGGAAGAAGCGAAAGUGACGGUACCUGCAGAAGAAGCGCCGGCUAAUUACGUGCCAGCAGCCGCGGUAAUACGUAGGGCGCAAGCGUUAUCCGGAAUUAUUGGGCGUAAAGAGCUCGUAGGCGGUUUGUCGCGUCUGCUGUGAAAGACCGGGGCUCAACUCCGGUUCUGCAGUGGGUACGGGCAGACUAGAGUGCAGUAGGGGAGACUGGAAUUCCUGGUGUAGCGGUGAAAUGCGCAGAUAUCAGGAGGAACACCGAUGGCGAAGGCAGGUUCUCUGGGCUGUAACUGACGCUGAGUGAGCGAAAGCAUGGGGAGCGAACAGGAUUAGAUACGCCUGGUAGUCCAUGCCGUAAACGUUGGGCACUAGGUGUGGGGGACAUUCCACGUUUUCCGCGCCGUAGCUAACGCAUUAAGUGCCCCGCCUGGGGAGUACGGCCGCAAGGCUAAAACUCAAAGGAAUUGACGGGGGCCCGCACAAGCGGCGGAGCAUGCGGAUUAAUUCGAUGCAACGCGAAGAACCUUACCAAGGCUUGACAUGAACCGGUAAUACCUGGAAACAGGUGCCCCGCUUGCGGUCGGUUUACAGGUGGUGCAUGGUUGUCGUCAGCUCGUGUCGUGAGAUGUUGGGUUAAGUCCCGCAACGAGCGCAACCCUCGUUCUAUGUUGCCAGCGGUUCGGCCGGGGACUCAUAGGAGACUGCCGGGGUCAACUCGGAGGAAGGUGGGGACGACGUCAAAUCAUCAUGCCCCUGAUGUGUUGGGCUUCACGCAUGCUACAAUGGCCGGUACAAAGGGUUGCGAUACUGUGAGGUGGAGCUAAUCCCAAAAAGCCGGUCUCAGUUCGGAUUGGGGUCUGCAACUCGACCCCAUGAAG